RNAcentral lists this ribosomal RNA (468 nucleotides) under uncultured bacterium. RNAcentral describes it as "partial 16S ribosomal RNA". It matches the Rfam family "Bacterial small subunit ribosomal RNA", at positions 28 to 507 of the family's 1533-position model. The record is from RNAcentral.
GACGAACGCUGGCGGCGUGCUUAACACAUGCAAGUCGAACGGAAAGGCCCUGCUUUUGUGGGGUGCUCGAGUGGCGAACGGGUGAUUAACACGUGAGUAACCUGCCCUUGACUUUGGGAUAACCUCAGGAAACUUGGGCUAAUACCGGAUAGGAGCUCCUGCUGCAUGGUUGGGGUUGGAAAGUUUCGGCGGUUGGGGAUGGACUCGCGGCUUAUCAGCUUGUUGGUGGGGUAGUGGCUUACCAAGGCUUUGACGGGUAGCCGGCCUGAGAGGGUGACCGGCCACAUUGGGACUGAGAUACGGCACAGACUCCUACGGGAGGCAGCAGUGGGGAAUAUUGCACAAUGGGCGGAAGCCUAAUGCAGCAACGCCGCGUGCGGGAUGACGGCCUUCGGGUUGUAAACCGCUUUCGCCUGUGACGAAGCGUGAGUGACGGUAAUGGGUAAAGAAGCACCGGCUAACUACGUG